RNAcentral lists this ribosomal RNA (690 nucleotides) under Streptomyces sp. RNAcentral's name for it is "bacterial SSU rRNA". It matches the Rfam family "Bacterial small subunit ribosomal RNA", at positions 343 to 1045 of the family's 1533-position model. Lineage: Bacteria; Bacillati; Actinomycetota; Actinomycetes; Kitasatosporales; Streptomycetaceae. The record is from RNAcentral.
GGGAGGCAGCAGUGGGGAAUAUUGCACAAUGGGCGAAAGCCUGAUGCAGCGACGCCGCGUGAGGGAUGACGGCCUUCGGGUUGUAAACCUCUUUCAGCAGGGAAGAAGCGAAAGUGACGGUACCUGCAGAAGAAGCGCCGGCUAACUACGUGCCAGCAGCCGCGGUAAUACGUAGGGCGCAAGCGUUGUCCGGAAUUAUUGGGCGUAAAGAGCUCGUAGGCGGCUUGUCACGUCGAUUGUGAAAGCUCGGGGCUUAACCCCGAGUCUGCAGUCGAUACGGGCUAGCUAGAGUGUGGUAGGGGAGAUCGGAAUUCCUGGUGUAGCGGUGAAAUGCGCAGAUAUCAGGAGGAACACCGGUGGCGAAGGCGGAUCUCUGGGCCAUUACUGACGCUGAGGAGCGAAAGCGUGGGGAGCGAACAGGAUUAGAUACCCUGGUAGUCCACGCCGUAAACGGUGGGAACUAGGUGUUGGCGACAUUCCACGUCGUCGGUGCCGCAGCUAACGCAUUAAGUUCCCCGCCUGGGGAGUACGGCCGCAAGGCUAAAACUCAAAGGAAUUGACGGGGGCCCGCACAAGCGGCGGAGCAUGUGGCUUAAUUCGACGCAACGCGAAGAACCUUACCAAGGCUUGACAUACACCGGAAAGCAUUAGAGAUAGUGCCCCCCUUGUGGUCGGUGUACAGGUGGUGCA